Molecule: ribosomal RNA, 619 nt
Filed under: uncultured fungus
Lineage: Eukaryota; Fungi
Description: eukaryotic LSU rRNA
Rfam family: 5.8S ribosomal RNA (bases 264-425)
Source: RNAcentral
AAGUCGUAAACAAGGUCUCCGUAGGGUGAGUUUUUGAAACGACUUCUAACUAAUAUUGAAUGAAUGCUAAACAGAUUUUCCAGUGAAACCUGCGGAGGGAUCAUUUACUGAGUGAGGGUCUCUGACCCGACCUCCAACCCUUUUGUGAUUUAAAACCUCUGUUUGCCUCGGGGCGACCCGGACCCGCGUCUAGGGCCCCCGACGGACCAUUUUCAAAAAACACUGCAUCUUUGCGUCGGAUUGAAUAAAGUAAAAUGAUUAAAAACUUUCAAACAACGGAUCUCUUGGUUCUGGCAUCGAUGAAGAACGCAGCGAAAAUGCGAUAAGUAAUGUGAAAUUGCAGAAAUUCAGUGAAAUCAUCGAGUUUUUUGAAACGCACACUGCGCCCCUUGGUAUUUCCGGGGGGCAUGCCCGUUCGAGCGUCAUUUCACCAAUCAAGCCUGGCUUGGUAUUGGGCAACCGGGGGCGACCCGGGCCUCAAAGUCGCCGGCUGGUAAAGCUCUGAUCUCAGCGUCGUGAUCAAUCAAAAUUUCGCUUUGCAGAGGAGUGAGCCGUGCCGGUUUAAGAAUUAUCUUAAAAGGUUGACCUCGGAUCGGGUAGGAAUACCGCUGAAACUUAA